This 370-nucleotide ribosomal RNA is filed under the name uncultured archaeon. RNAcentral's name for it is "partial 16S rRNA". It matches the Rfam family "Archaeal small subunit ribosomal RNA", at positions 967 to 1337 of the family's 1478-position model. The record is from RNAcentral.
CUUGCCGGACGAGCUGAGAGGAGGUGCAUGGCCGUCGUCAGCUCGUGCCGUGAGGUGUCUGGUUAAGUCCAGCAACGAGCGAGACCCCCACCCCCAGUUGCUACCCCGCCCCACGGGGCGGGGGGCACACUGGGGGGACUGCCGGCGUAAGCCGGAGGAAGGAGGGGGCCACGGCAGGUCAGUAUGCCCCGAAACCCCGGGGCUGCACGCGAGCUGCAAUGGCGGGGACAGCGGGAGCCGACCCCGAAAGGGGGAGGCAAUCCCGUAAACCCCGCCCCAGUAGGGAUCGAGGGCUGCAACUCGCCCUCGUGAACGUGGAAUCCCUAGUAACCGCGUGUCACCAACGCGCGGUGAAUACGUCCCUGCCCCU